RNAcentral lists this long non-coding RNA (1535 nucleotides) under Prunus dulcis (almond). Its description in RNAcentral is "sRNA ncRNA". Lineage: Eukaryota; Viridiplantae; Streptophyta; Magnoliopsida; Rosales; Rosaceae. The record is from RNAcentral.
AUGGAUGAAGAUCGUUGUGAAGACAGGUAAUUACUACUAUUAUUUCAUGGCUUUUGAUGAAGAAGAAAAGAUUAAAUGUGAAGGUGGACAUCCAACACAUUCUCACUCUCUAAUUCAGUAAACUCAUUUAACAUUUAUGAGAAUGUGAAGGGUUAUAGUGCAUUAUACUUUGUUGUGCCAUCAUAUAAUGCGACUCUAAUCAAUGACAUGUCGAUUGAACGAUUGCGCAAAUUAGGCUGUGAAAACUUUUCAUUUUAUUGUCGAUUGAUAGUGUUUAUAUCACUUACUUUUUGUGACUCUCAAAAAGUACCAACUUUUUGGAUCCAAUCAAAUUUUUAAAGACUUUUUAAAUUCACAAUUGGAUACCAUCAAACUUUUAAAUACUUAUAAAAAUCACAAUUGAAUACCACUAGACUUUUAUAAAUACUUUAAAAAUCUAAAUUCAAUACCUCGAGACUUUUAAACUCAAUAAAAAUCAUUGAAAGUUUGAAUUGAAAAUUGUUAGAAUGUGACUAUAUAACUUAAAAUUUAUUGACAUGAAUGGAAUGGUGGAAGAUCUUUUACAACCCUUAUGAUAUGAUGUACAUUAGGAACAUACAGGGGUCAGUCCCCCAACUUCUUCUUCCGAAAUAUUAUCUUUAUCCCGCCCUUUCGAAACUUGAUCUUUUAGAACUUGGGAGGGCUUUGUCCUAAAUCUAUAGUAUAAGUAUUGUAUUCACCUACUGAGAAACUACAAACUAAGCCAAAAUAAUUAUUGAUCCCAUUGGGAAAAACCAAGAUAUACAAUGCAGUAAGUAAGAAAGGAAAAAGGUAGAGCAGAGCUUACGUUUGCUUCACUGCAAAACUACCAGCAGUCAGGGAUUGGUUGUUUUUAAAAGUUCCAACUGAAAUGGAAGUAAUCUUUCACAACUGGGACAUCUUUCUCUUUAAUGGUCUCUCUGUAAAUUUAUAUUAAAAUUUCUUCACAAAAAAAAAUAACAAUUUGUUCCUUUUUCAUAUGAUUCAGAAAGCUGUCACAAGCACAACGGGAGUCGCUUUUGCCUGGCCAAAAUACGUCAUCUAAACGAUUUCAAUUCUUGUAUCUUGGAAGAGACUUACAAGUAAAACUCAGUAACUACUAAUAAUCCAAAAAUAAAAACUUGAGAAAAAAAAAUUGUAAUCCACAAUUGUCUCAAGGAUAAAAAGAAAUUUUUUUUAAAAAAAACUUGAGUGUCAUAGCCAAAGUGCACUAGACCCGAUCUGCAAAAUGGAAAUUAAAACAAUUUUGGAAACACAGUACGAUGAACAAUUAUGGAAGGAGGCCAACGAACGAAUGCAACUACUUUCCCUUUCCUUCUAUCUUACAUUUCUUGUAAAUAAGAGUUCUAUGUUACAAAUCAAAAUUGUGGCUAGUUUCUCUUAAAUGCUCAAUUAGAAUGAGCUUCUCAGCUCCUAAGCAAAUGAAAACAAAAAUUGCACAAGCUUUUAUAUAUCUAUCUCCCUUUCUACGCAACCCUUCACUUGGUCGCACUUAUGAAAAUUUCCAUUUUGAAUGA